UACGUAGGGUGCAAGCGUUAAUCGGAAUUACUGGGCGUAAAGAGCGCGCAGGCGGUCGUGCAAGUCGCGUGUGAAAGCCCCCGGCUCAACUGGGGAGGGUCACGCGAUACUGCUCGACUCGAAGGCAGGAGAGGGAAGUGGAAUUCCCGGUGUAGUGGUGAAAUGCGUAGAUAUCGGGAGGAACACCAGUGGCGAAGGCGGCCGACUGGGCCGACCCUGACGCUGAGGCGCGAAGGCGUGGGGAGCGAACGGG
This 253-nucleotide ribosomal RNA is filed under the name uncultured bacterium. Its description in RNAcentral is "partial 16S ribosomal RNA". It matches the Rfam family "Bacterial small subunit ribosomal RNA", at positions 524 to 776 of the family's 1533-position model. The record is from RNAcentral.